CGCUAUAGCUCAGCUGGUAGAGCAACUGAUUUGUAAUCAGUAGGUCCCGAGUUCGACUCUUGGUGGCG
This 68-nucleotide transfer RNA is filed under the name marine eukaryotic metagenome. It matches the Rfam family "tRNA". From Rfam's summary of the family: Transfer RNA (tRNA) molecules are approximately 80 nucleotides in length. Their secondary structure includes four short double-helical elements and three loops (D, anti-codon, and T loops). The record is from RNAcentral.